RNAcentral lists this ribosomal RNA (450 nucleotides) under uncultured bacterium. RNAcentral describes it as "partial 16S ribosomal RNA". It matches the Rfam family "Bacterial small subunit ribosomal RNA", at positions 354 to 796 of the family's 1533-position model. The record is from RNAcentral.
GUGGGGAAUAUUGGACAAUGGGCGAAAGCCUGAUCCAGCCAUGCCGCGUGUGUGAAGAAGGUCUUCGGAUUGUAAAGCACUUUAAGUUGGGAGGAAGGGUAGUAACCUAAUACGUUGCUACUUUGACGUUACCGACAGAAUAAGCACCGGCUAACUUCGUGCCAGCAGCCGCGGUAAUACGAAGGGUGCAAGCGUUAAUCGGAAUUACUGGGCGUAAAGCGCGCGUAGGUGGUUCAGUAAGUUGGAAGUGAAAUCCCCGGGCUCAACCUGGGAACUUCUUUCAAAACUGCUGAGCUAGAGUACGGUAGAGGGUGGUGGAAUUUCCUGUGUAGCGGUGAAAUGCGUAGAUAUAGGAAGGAACACCAGUGGCGAAGGCGACCACCUGGACUGAUACUGACACUGAGGUGCGAAAGCGUGGGGAGCAAACAGGAUUAGAUACCCCAGUAGUCC